UGGGAGAGCUCAAAAAAUUCCCCCCAAAAAGCUCUCCUCAGUUUCAGAUCUAGUUUGAAAUAAAUCAUUCAAAAAAAAAAAAUCCAAAAAAGUUACUGUUACAUUAGUGCUCCUUUAGCCAUUUUCAGAUUUCAACAUUUAAUUCAAGUCUCUAGCUCAUUUAGGAUGAAAGUUACUUGAAUCUCCUUGUUAUGUUCGAUAUCUGGAAUUUUUAAGAAAUUUGGGUCCUCUAGGUAUUGGAUUUGGCUAAUUUGUGCCAACUAUGGUCCAUCUGCUGAUUGUUGAUUUCCUAUGUUCAUUUCUGGGCAUUUUGGUGUUGUUUUGGGGUUGAUAUAUUAGAGUUGUUUGGUUUAACGCAUUUCAGAGUCACUCUGGGUCAACGAGUAAUUUCUGGGUUGAACGGCUAUGUUUGUCGUUGUGUGAACAUCAAACUGUUGGUUGCUUGCGCCUCUGUUGCUAACUUCUCCUUCUGCUCGUUAUAUCUCCAGGUACCUCCCUCGACUUCAUAUGAACUGUGGAGGAUUCGUUGUAAAUCUGAUGUUGAAGAGUUGGAAAGGAUGAAUGCAGUUGAAUUAGACUUGAGUUUGCCUACUGUACUUCAUAUAUGUAGGGCAAUUUGUUUAAUGAAUAAUUUUGUAUAAAAUUGGACUCACAAAACUGUUCGUGUUGUGCCUAGCAUAGAGAUCAAUUAAUUUGUCUAGUUCGCUUAUGCUAACAAUGAGGUUCAUGGUAGUCUGAUUAUUAUGGAUCUUCAGCCUUGAUUAGUUAAUUUGAUAUCAUAAUAUAGUGGUUAAUCGUUUCAGUUG
RNAcentral lists this long non-coding RNA (806 nucleotides) under Nicotiana benthamiana. RNAcentral describes it as "long non-coding RNA (NBEN_LNC018287)". The record is from RNAcentral. Lineage: Eukaryota; Viridiplantae; Streptophyta; Magnoliopsida; Solanales; Solanaceae.